AUUGAACGCUGGCGGCAGGCCUAACACCUGCAAGUCGAACGAGUGGCGGACGGGUGAGUAAUGUCUGGGAAACUGCCUGAUGGAGGGGGAUAACUACUGGAAACGGUAGCUAAUACCGCAUACCAUCGGAUGUGCCCAGAUGGGAGUAGCUAGUAGGGGGGGUAAAGGCUCACCUAGGCGACGAUCCCUAGCUGGUCUGAGCGGAUGACCAGCCACACUGGAACUGAGACACGUUCCGGACUCCUCCGGUAGGCAGCAGUGGGGAAUAUUGCACAAUGGGGGAAAGCCUGAUGCAGCCAUGCCGCGUGUAUGAAGAAGGCCUUCGGGUUGUACAGUACUUUCAGCGGGGAGGCGUUACCCGCAGAAGAAGCACCGGCUAACUCCGUGCCAGCAGCCGCGGUAAUAC
This 406-nucleotide ribosomal RNA is filed under the name uncultured bacterium. RNAcentral describes it as "partial 16S ribosomal RNA". It matches the Rfam family "Bacterial small subunit ribosomal RNA", at positions 30 to 526 of the family's 1533-position model. The record is from RNAcentral.